ACAUGCAGAGCAAUUUUGAUAUUCCAAACAAACAAACAAAAAGGCAUAUUCUGUACAUGGCGCUACUUGGCUCUUGUAGGAAAACAUUGAAAAAAUAAUAAUUGAGCUUUCAGUGGGUUUUGUGUUUCCGAGUUGUUUUCCGCAAAAGCCGAGGCACUUUUGAUCCUGCACGGCUGACGGCGGACGGGAGGUGUCUGCUGCUGACACGAGGGGCUGAGCCCACCCAGGCACAGAAAGUCAGAAGUCUAAGCAAGCCAUUCCUGAAUAUGAACGUGGACGCACAUGUAUUGGGGGUGGGGGGUACUAUUCCUUCCUUCUCAAAUGGGACCAAGAGCCUCCGAUUCACAAGCUGGUUUGUAGGGCCCAUACCCAAAUAAAAAUUCAGCUGGAGGCUGGUUCCGGACCUUGACUGGCAUCAGAAGGUGACAGCGAACUCAAAAAGUCAUUGUUUCCCUCUGUUUCUGGGAGAACCCUAAGGAAACACUCGCCUUCACCGGCAGCCCCCGAAAGUCCAGCACAUUCUUUCGUGUGUUUUGAGAGAACAAACGCUCCUCUGCUCUUUCCAUCCCCAACCUUACCUCUGGUGUAAAGCAAUAUUCUGAAGAACAUUCCAGAAGGUUUUCUGAAGGGGCACCAUUCUACAAGUACCGUUUAUAUAAGAUCAGCAUUUCCCCAUUCCCCACCCCCAACCAAACCAUAAUUUCUGAACAGCCUGAGGUGUCAAGGACUCACCAAGAGGCAUCCAAAAGGCAUUUAACCCCAACUUCCACCCACCACAAAGUAGAAAAAUGAUUGUCGGUGGGACUACAGCACAUCCAAUCACUCAGAUGGCUAGCAUGGGCCAUGUUCUGAUGGCAUUUCUGGCCACUGAGCAAUGCUAGGACAGCUACAAAUAAACGCCUCCCAACCCAACAAGCACACUUAUGGAGGACCAUCUGCUCUGGUGGGAGACAGUGGAAGAUCUGUCCAUCAGUUGGCGGCAGGCUCCAGUGGUCAUGGAUUGUAUGUGCAGACCCUUGCAUCAAUUCCCACAUUUUCUCUCAGUUGUGCUCAAUGCCUAUCCAGAGAACCAGCAGCAUGUCUCUCUUUCUACUAGCUUAAAAUGACAGAAAAGCACCCAGGACAGCUCUCAGAAUACAAACAUUUCCAGACGGUUUUAAUAAUAGUGAGACAUCUUCAAAAACAAACAACAAAAAGCAUCAACCUAAGCUGGCUUUGUUGCUUUUUUUUGUAACCCAUCAUUACAAUCCCCCAGGACAACCAUGAUUUCCUCAGACCAAAGUUCUGUUGUUGCACAGGAAACAUUAUCUGUUGCAAAACGAGGCUCAUAACCCAACGGCCACUUGCCCUUUUCACAGCAGCAGCAGAGACAGCUAAAUGAAAUCAGUGAAAUCCCAUUUACACAGGGCGGGUCCGGUACUCUAGGUACGUCUCCAGGGCAAGCGGAGAAAGGAGAUCCUGCAGGAGCCGUGGUGAAAGUAUGACAAAGGCUUGCCGAAUAUGACAAUAGCCUUGUUGGCCCUGCCCAGACUUACACACAGGUUCUCAAAGCCCCACAAGGUCAACCAGUAUUAGCUUAAAGUCAACUAAACCGCAACACUGGGGUCUAAGGUUUUGUUGCUAAAAAAAUGCAUCCAGUACAGUGGUGGAUUUGGGGACUGAGAUUUCUCAACAUACGCUCCUCCCACUUGAAGAAUAAAAGAAGACACUGCAUGGGGUGUUCGUGUGUGAGGUUCCCAUGAGUGUGGUUUGUUCCACCCCCUAAAAAAGCAUCUGAGUCUGAAAGGGGUGAGAAUAAACCAUGGAGAGCCCAGGGCACCUUGGUGCUCACUUCGGUG
RNAcentral lists this long non-coding RNA (1838 nucleotides) under Equus caballus (horse). RNAcentral's name for it is "lncRNA (ENSECAG00000044902.1)". The record is from RNAcentral. Lineage: Eukaryota; Metazoa; Chordata; Mammalia; Perissodactyla; Equidae.